This is a long non-coding RNA of Alexandromys fortis (reed vole), 706 nucleotides long. RefSeq lists it as uncharacterized. The record is from RefSeq and is a predicted model, not a curated record. Lineage: Eukaryota; Metazoa; Chordata; Mammalia; Rodentia; Cricetidae. The transcript has 3 exons.
GAAACUUUGCUACUAAGCCACUGCCACGUGGCGGUACACAGAUCAAUAGAAAUGGGUCAAAUUAAUAUGUAAGAGUUAGCCAAUAAGAAGCUGGAGCUAAUGGGCCAAGCAAUGACUUAAUUAAUACAGUUUCUGUGUGAUUAUUUACGGUCUGAGAUAGCCGGGCAGCCCAGAUGAACAAGCGGCCUGCAGCUACAAGUAUCAACUGGCUAAGUGAGGAUAACAAUCUCUGAGCCAAACUCGAAUUGCCAUGAGAAGAGGGGUGAGGGAGGACUUUUAAAGGUGAAACCCACAAGAAGACCUUGAGUAUCCACACAAGCAAGCUUGUAAUUCCUGACUUUUAGCAGACCACAGUAUCCCAGGAGAUUUGCAUAAAGAGUGAUGUGUUCGGCUCUUGAGAAAUGUCUGUGCACCAUGUGCAUGCAGCGCCCAUGGAAGCACAAAGAAGGCAUUGGGUCCCUUUGAACUGGAGUUACAGACGACCAACUACCGUGUGGAUGCCGGGAGUCGUACUAGAGUCCUCUGGAAGAGCAGCCAGUGCUCUUAGCAGCUGAGCCACUUGUCCAGCCUGGAAUGAGGAGUUCUUUCUGCCUCUAGAAACCCUCUUUGUUUUCCCUGCUUUCUGGAAGCCCGAGGAACCAGGGGAACUUCAGACAGAACCCAGAGUAACAACACUAGAGGCUCUCGUGUGAAACGUUUUUAUUGA